Triticum dicoccoides is the source of this 525-nucleotide long non-coding RNA. RefSeq lists it as uncharacterized. Lineage: Eukaryota; Viridiplantae; Streptophyta; Magnoliopsida; Poales; Poaceae. The transcript has 3 exons. The record is from RefSeq and is a predicted model, not a curated record.
CUGUAUCUAUGAACAUACGUACUACAAAAAGACUGGUUGUUGUUUGAUAGAUGCAAAAUUUCGGUUAAUAUGAUGGAGCAUGCUGAAUUGCUGACCAUGACCGUAGCUGUACAAGAGCAUGAUUGGCCCCGAUGGAUAGUGCACCAACUACGACAAGUCCAACCGAACCUGCAACAUCUACGAAGACUGGCCAUUCUUCUGCCGGGUCGAACCGAAGGUUUUCGAAGAGUUCUUUGGUGUGCCAUGCAGCAAAUUCGACAGGGAAGCCUGCAGUGCUUGUGUGGAUAACAUCAAGAUGGUGUAUGGUCAGGACUCUCCUGAGCUUGGAAACCUCAAGCGGGUCAUAAGGGAGGAAAGUAGUAAGCAGGAAGCAAGCAUGAACCGGGUUAAAUUGUUGGAUACCACAAAUACUGGUACCUGAUUGAUUAUGGAGUGUAGAGUACUCACUCACCGAAGCAGUUGAAAACCGGAACACAAAUACUGGUACCUAAUUUUCACCUAUGAAUGAGUCUACAUUUAAAUGAA